Molecule: ribosomal RNA, 253 nt
Filed under: uncultured bacterium
Lineage: Bacteria
Description: partial 16S ribosomal RNA
Rfam family: Bacterial small subunit ribosomal RNA
Source: RNAcentral
UACAGAGGGGGCAAGCGUUGUUCGGAAUUACUGGGCGUAAAGGGCGCGUAGGCGGCCUUCUAAGUCGAACGUGAAAUCCCCGGGCUCAACCCGGGAACUGCGUCCGAUACUGGAAGGCUUGAAUCCGGGAGAGGGAUGCGGAAUUCCAGGUGUAGCGGUGAAAUGCGUAGAUAUCUGGAGGAACACCGGCGGCGAAGGCGGCAUCCUGGACCGGUAUUGACGCUGAGGCGCGAAAGCCAGGGGAGCAAACGGG